GACAGCAAAGCUACUUACUCCAUCAUGCAUCGUACUGCUCCUAGUUGCUUGUGCUCUUGUGACCUCUCCAGUGAAGCCAGAGGAGCAAUAGCAGAGCAGUGUCGUAUCUCUCCUUAGAUGGACUCUGUCUGGAAUUCUUUUGUCACAUGGAUGUAUGGUAGCGUCACUGAGGAAAGUUGCUGCCAGCUGACCAUUACCUUAUUGACACUGGCAAACUGGCAGACUGUGGCAAACUGGGACUGGACCACAUCUCCUGCAUCACUUGUUUUCUGCUGCUGAACGUGAAGGCGAUGGGAAUUGAGGUGGGAGAGUGCCGGGGAGGACCGCAGCCAUGAGUGUGCCUACACGGCAGAGCUGGAUUUUGCGGCUUUUUCUGUCCCCGGUUGUGCGCCCAGUGGGGCCGGCUGCUCGCAGGGCUGAGCUGGGAAAGCGCAGGCGGGCGCGGCCA
RNAcentral lists this long non-coding RNA (448 nucleotides) under Struthio camelus australis. RNAcentral's name for it is "lncRNA (ENSSCUG00000003177.1)". The record is from RNAcentral. Lineage: Eukaryota; Metazoa; Chordata; Aves; Struthioniformes; Struthionidae.